UACGUAGGUGGCAAGCGUUGUCCGGAUUUAUUGGGUUUAAAGGGUGCGUAGGCGGCUUUGUAAGUCAGUGGUGAAAUAUGGCAGCUUAACUGUCAGGGUGCCAUUGAUACUGCAGAGCUUGAGUACAGAUGAGGUAGGCGGAAUUGACGGUGUAGCGGUGAAAUGCUUAGAUAUCGUCAAGAACACCUAUAGCGAAGGCAGCUUACUAGGCUGUAACUGACGCUGAGGCACGAAAGUGUGGGGAGCAAACAGG
Molecule: ribosomal RNA, 253 nt
Filed under: uncultured bacterium
Lineage: Bacteria
Description: partial 16S ribosomal RNA
Rfam family: Bacterial small subunit ribosomal RNA
Source: RNAcentral